GUUGGCUUCUUUUUAUGAAUUAUCUUCUUUUCUCCCUUUCACGGAUUUGCCGAAUUAGAGCUCUUUAUAAAGUUUUAAAACUUUCAUAGGCGCUCUGUUGAUGUUUAAAUAUCAGUCGCCUUUAAAAAGGUCGGACUUGUUGUUCGAAUAUCAGUAGCUUUUAAGAAGGUCGUACUAAUCAGUCGCCUUUAAAAAGGUCGGACCUGUUGCUUGGAAUCUUAGUAGC
This 226-nucleotide long non-coding RNA is filed under the name Medicago truncatula (barrel medic). Its description in RNAcentral is "long non-coding RNA (MTRU_LNC003671)". The record is from RNAcentral. Lineage: Eukaryota; Viridiplantae; Streptophyta; Magnoliopsida; Fabales; Fabaceae.